GAUGAACGCUGACAGAAUGCUUAACACAUGCAAGUCAACUUGAACUUCGGUUUGGGUGGCGGACGGGUGAGUAACGCGUAAAGAACUUGCCUCACAGAUAGGGACAACAUUUGGAAACGAAUGCUAAUACCUGAUAUUAUGAUUUUAGGGCAUCCUAGGAUUAUGAAAGCUAUAUGCACUGUGAGAGAGCUUUGCGUCCCAUUAGCUAGUUGGAGAGGUAACGGCUCACCAAGGCGAUGAUGGGUAGCCGGCCUGAGAGGGUGAUCGGCCACAAGGGGACUGAGACACGGCCCUUACUCCUACGGGAGGCAGCAGUGGGGAAUAUUGGACAAUGGACCAAGAGUCUGAUCCAGCAAUUCUGUGUGCACGAUGAAGUUUUUCGGAAUGUAAAGUGCUUUCAGUUGGGAAGAAAAAAAUGACGGUACCAACAGAAGAAGUGACGGCUAAAUACGUGCCAGCAGCCGCGGUAAUACGUAUGUCACAAGCGUUAUCCGGAUUUAUUGGGCGUAAAGCGCGUCUAGGUGGUUAUGUAAGUCUGAUGUGAAAAUGCAGGGCUCAACUCUGUAUUGCGUUGGAAACUGUGUAACUAGAGUACUGGAGAGGUAAGCGGAACUACAAGUGUAGAGGUGAAAUUCGUAGAUAUUUGUAGGAAUGCCGAUGGGGAAGCCAGCUUACUGGACAGAUACUGACGCUGAAGCGCGAAAGCGUGGGAGCAAACAGG
This 721-nucleotide ribosomal RNA is filed under the name uncultured Fusobacterium sp. Its description in RNAcentral is "bacterial SSU rRNA". It matches the Rfam family "Bacterial small subunit ribosomal RNA", at positions 28 to 776 of the family's 1533-position model. The record is from RNAcentral. Lineage: Bacteria; Fusobacteriati; Fusobacteriota; Fusobacteriia; Fusobacteriales; Fusobacteriaceae.